UUACCGGGAACUCAACCCAUCCCCCAAUCUGUAUCGAUUAGGGCUGGGAAUACCGGCCUUCUAAUACCUGGCCCCUGCACAGCACUGACCCCUAUCGGCGAGUGGAUGCUGUAAUGGCCCUCCAAACCUAUAACCGGUUCAGUCUAUGAGAGGAGAAACCCGGACAUGGGCACUGAAACAAGGGCCCAGGGCCUAUGGGGCGCAUAAGGCCGAAACCUCUGUAAAAUGCCAAAGCCUGACUGGGUUACUGGGGGGGGAGAUUCCGCUAAGGGGAUUUUUUGCCACCUCUAAAAAUGGUGCAGAAUAGGGGGUGGGCAUAGUCUGGUGUCAGCCGCCGCGGUAAUACCAGCCCCCCAAGUGGCGGGAUAAUUAUGGGACCUAGAGCAUCAGUAGCCCGUUCUGCAAAUCUGCUCAUUAAAUCCUGCCUCUCAGAUGAUGGGCCGCAGAAGAUACUACAGGACUAGGAGGCGAUGAUGCGAGCCUACUCUGUGAGUAUGGUUAUAUCUCUGAUCUAUUGACACGACCAUGAGAAGGCUUCUUGCCAGAACGCUCUCGACGUGAAGGAUUGAUGCUGGGCAACAAACCGAUAGAUACGCUGUGGUCCAGCUGCUACGAUCACCUUGCUGAGGACGAGCUUGCUCCUCCUGCUGCCGCAGGCAUCGUAAGUCUGCGCCUGGAAGUACGCUCCAGGCUGAAACUGAGUAAUGGAU
Molecule: ribosomal RNA, 710 nt
Filed under: uncultured archaeon
Lineage: Archaea
Description: bacterial SSU rRNA
Rfam family: Archaeal small subunit ribosomal RNA
Source: RNAcentral